UGAAGCCGAAUUCCUAGUGUCCAUCUGGAU
RNAcentral lists this non-coding RNA (30 nucleotides) under Rattus norvegicus (Norway rat). Lineage: Eukaryota; Metazoa; Chordata; Mammalia; Rodentia; Muridae. The record is from RNAcentral.